CUAGGCAUUGAUAGUUCAUCUCCUUCUUCAUGAACUUGGGACAUACUGAAAUAUAUAUAUAUAUAUACGUAUGUAAUUGUGAGUUUCAUUAUAGAGGGUGUAAAAUGUUGUUUAGUGCCAAAGUGGCAAAAUAAUUAAUUAAACUUGUGGCAGGUGAGUCCCUAUUAAAUGGCAAGUGGCUAGUAGGAUUUAACUAUGGUUGGCGCGUGGGGUUGAUCUGCUGUACAUGUUUUACAAGUGGAGAUUUUAUCGUUAAUUGAGGGUUAUGACGGAUGACGCCCUAGCUAUGCAACAUACGAGGCUUCUAGCUAUGAUUUGGCCCGUGGGGGUUUAAUACCUCUUACAUUGAGGAUGGAAG
This is a non-coding RNA of Pelobates cultripes (western spadefoot toad), 358 nucleotides long. NCBI's taxonomy places the organism in Eukaryota, Metazoa, Chordata, Amphibia, Anura, Pelobatidae. The record is from the annotation of a GenBank genome assembly.